GAUGAACGCUGGCGGCGUGCCUAAUACAUGCAAGUCGAGCGAACAGACGAGGAGCUUGCUCCUCUGACGUUAGCGGCGGACGGGUGAGUAACACGUGGAUAACCUACCUAUAAGACUGGGAUAACUUCGGGAAACCGGAGCUAAUACCGGAUAAUAUAUUGAACCGCAUGGUUCAAUAGUGAAAGACGGUUUUGCUGUCACUUAUAGAUGGAUCCGCGCCGCAUUAGCUAGUUGGUAAGGUAACGGCUUACCAAGGCGACGAUGCGUAGCCGACCUGAGAGGGUGAUCGGCCACACUGGAACUGAGACACGGUCCAGACUCCUACGGGAGGCAGCAGUAGGGAAUCUUCCGCAAUGGGCGAAAGCCUGACGGAGCAACGCCGCGUGAGUGAUGAAGGUCGUCGGAUCGUAAAACUCUGUUAUUAGGGAAGAACAAAUGUGUAAGUAACUAUGCACGUCUUGACGGUACCUAAUCAGAAAGCCACGGCUAACUACGUG
RNAcentral lists this ribosomal RNA (497 nucleotides) under uncultured bacterium. RNAcentral describes it as "partial 16S ribosomal RNA". It matches the Rfam family "Bacterial small subunit ribosomal RNA", at positions 28 to 507 of the family's 1533-position model. The record is from RNAcentral.